GAUGAACGCUGGCGGCGUGCUUAACACAUGCAAGUCGAGCGAGUGAGUUCUUCGGAACGAUCUAGCGGCGGACGGGUGAGUAACACGUGGGCAACCUGCCUCAUAGAGGGGAAUAGCCUCCCGAAAGGGAGAUUAAUACCGCAUAAAAUUAUCGAGUGGCAUCACAUGAUAAUCAAAGGAGUAAUCCGCUAUGAGAUGGGCCCGCGGCGCAUUAGCUAGUUGGUGAGGUAACGGCUCACCAAGGCGACGAUGCGUAGCCGACCUGAGAGGGUGAUCGGGCACAUUGGGACUGGGACACGGCCCAGAGUCCUACGGGAGGCAGAAGUGGGGAAUAUUGCACAAUGGGGGAAACCCUGAUGCAGCAACGCCGCGUGAAUGAUGAAGGUCUUCGGAUUGUAAAGCUCUGUCUUUGGGGACGAUAAUGACGGUACCCAAGGAGGAAGCCACGGCUAACUACGUGCCAGCCGCCGCAGUAA
This 476-nucleotide ribosomal RNA is filed under the name uncultured bacterium. RNAcentral's name for it is "partial 16S ribosomal RNA". It matches the Rfam family "Bacterial small subunit ribosomal RNA", at positions 28 to 523 of the family's 1533-position model. The record is from RNAcentral.